RNAcentral lists this ribosomal RNA (253 nucleotides) under uncultured bacterium. RNAcentral describes it as "partial 16S ribosomal RNA". It matches the Rfam family "Bacterial small subunit ribosomal RNA", at positions 524 to 776 of the family's 1533-position model. The record is from RNAcentral.
UACGAAGGGGGCUAGCGUUGCUCGGAAUUACUGGGCGUAAAGGGCGCGUAGGCGGACAGUUUAGUCAGAGGUAAAAGCCCAGGGCUCAACCUUGGAACUGCCUUUGAUACUGGCUGUCUUGAGUUCGGGAGAGGUGAGUGGAAUGCCGAGUGUAGAGGUGAAAUUCGUAGAUAUUCGGAAGAACACCAGUGGCGAAGGCGACUGACUGGACAGAUAUUGACGCUGAGGUGCGAAAGCGUGGGGAGCAAACAGG